RNAcentral lists this microRNA (22 nucleotides) under Echinococcus granulosus. RNAcentral's name for it is "egr-miR-10233-5p". Lineage: Eukaryota; Metazoa; Platyhelminthes; Cestoda; Cyclophyllidea; Taeniidae. The record is from miRBase by way of RNAcentral.
UUGCACAGCUUAGAGCUCUGUC